RNAcentral lists this ribosomal RNA (690 nucleotides) under actinobacterium TS-BY3. Its description in RNAcentral is "bacterial SSU rRNA". It matches the Rfam family "Bacterial small subunit ribosomal RNA", at positions 54 to 753 of the family's 1533-position model. The record is from RNAcentral. Lineage: Bacteria; Bacillati; Actinomycetota; Actinomycetes.
CAUGCAAGUCGAACGAUGAUCCGGUGCUUGCGCCGGGGAUUAGUGGCGAACGGGUGAGUAACACGUGAGUAACCUGCCCUUAACUCUGGGAUAAGCCUGGGAAACUGGGUCUAAUACCGGAUAUGACUCCUCAUCGCAUGGUGGGGGGUGGAAAGCUUUUUUGUGGUUUUGGAUGGACUCGCGGCCUAUCAGCUUGUUGGUGAGGUAAUGGCUCACCAAGGCGACGACGGGUAGCCGGCCUGAGAGGGUGACCGGCCACACUGGGACUGAGACACGGCCCAGACUCCUACGGGAGGCAGCAGUGGGGAAUAUUGCACAAUGGGCGCAAGCCUGAUGCAGCGACGCCGCGUGAGGGAUGACGGCCUUCGGGUUGUAAACCUCUUUCAGUAGGGAAGAAGCGAAAGUGACGGUACCUGCAGAAGAAGCGCCGGCUAACUACGUGCCAGCAACCGCGGUAAUACGUAGGGCGCAAGCGUUAUCCGGAAUUAUUGGGCGUAAAGAGCUCGUAGGCGGUUUGUCGCGUCUGCCGUGAAAGUCCGGGGCUCAACUCCGGAUCUGCGGUGGGUACGGGGCAGACUAGAGUGAUGUAGGGGAGACUGGAAUUCCUGGUGUAGCGGUGAAAUGCGCAGAUAUCAGGAGGAACACCGAUGGCGAAGGCAGGUCUCUGGGCAUUAAACUGACGCUGAGGAG